CGCAAUGUGCGGUCGCAAAAGGGGACCACAAUGACGGCCGGUUAAAUUAGAAAUAAAUAAAUAGUAAAAUAAUAAAAGAGCCAUAAGGCAUAGCAAGCACAGCAGCUCAAUCGCCCAAUCAAUUCCGAGUCCAGUGCGUUUGUCAGUUAAACAAUGUAUCAGUGAAAUGCUUAAUACGGUUCGUGUGUAACGAAAACAAGUCAUCAAAAAUCGCUGAAACUAACGGUUAAGCAAGGUAAAAUUAAAAGUGUCUAUACACUUUCAUGUAAAAUAUUAUGAUUUGUUCGCAAAACGCUUUUGUGUUGGAAUUUCGAAGUUUCGUGUGCUUCUUGGCAUGCUGUUGCUGCGUCUGAAUAGCAGCAGGAGUUCUUCUUAUUGUUCCAAAGCUUCGGUUUCGUAUACACUUUGGCAGAAGAAAUUUCGAUAUAAAUUUUCGUCGUCCAAUUAUGUGCGAACAAAAAAGGAAAUACCGCGUUUACACACACCGACACAUACACACAGCUAUGCAGUGAAAAGUAAUAAUAUUCCUGUUCGUUUAUACUCGUCAGUGCGUGUGUAUGUGUAGAUAUUUUGCGAUUGCAUUUUCGGGAAAAUCGGGAUACACUCCAUUGCUCCACUUUCAGUGUCUAGCAAAAGAGAAAAAGGCUAAAAAUAAAAACAAAACAAACAAAAGAAGUAAAGGGAAAAGCAAGUUUGAGCAACAGUAAGCAAAGUACAAAUCAGUAAUAAAUGAUGAAAAAGCAGAAGUAAUGCGAUAAGUAAAAGUUAAAAAUUUGCAGACGCUCUUUGUUUGCGUAUAUAUAUAUAUAUAUAUAUAUAUAUAUAUAUAUUCGAGUAAAUCGCAAUGCAAGCAAAAGUGUAAAUUGCAUGUGCAUAAGGUGCAACUGCAAUCUGCCACCUGCCACUUGCCAGCACCAACACUUCACCCAAUAAAUCGCUAUAGCACGCCGCAAAGGCCAAAAAAAGCAUUGGAGUUACUCGUUUCGUGUGCGGUGAUUCGUAUCUACUCAUGUUUUGUUCGUUCGUAUUUACCGUUUUGAUGCUUUUACGCUUCUGAUUCGCUAAAUUCUACAUUGCGCUGCUCGUUAAGUGCAACUACGGGCUUAGUGAGUGAGUGUCGGUGUUAUAUAUUUUUUGUUUUGUUGGUUAAAAAUAAAUACUUUCGUAUCUACACAUAAGUAUUUACGUUUUACGUAUGUGCAACGGUUCCAUAUGCAUUGGAAUACUAUUUAAUGCCACAAACAAGUGAAAAAAACAUGUCAUAAGUGCUUGCAGAAAUCAUGCCACAAAGUCAGCAGCAGUGAAAUAUCGUCAUCUCCUCAGCAGCUGCAACUAACUAGAAAAAUUACCGUAUAGAACGUAUUCACAUAAGUAUGUGAAUAAUAAUCUAACAUAAUCCCUGAAGAAGACCAGUAUCUUGCAAAGAGUUAUAGAGCAGUGAGUGUGAAUAUGAAUUAUGAGUAUAUAUGAUGUCUAAUGGAGAUACGAAAUGCUCGUAUGCAAGCAUAAAAUCAAAUAAAUUACCUAUAUAUAUAUAAGUGCAAGCGCAUAGCCGCAAUGGAGAUGAAAAUGGAUAAUGCAUUAAAUUAGUAGUCAUUGCGAAUAAAUAAUGUACGAUUUUAUUUAAAAAUUAAUAAACUUGAAGUACGCAUAUUGGAACCACCAAAAUAUAUGUACAUAUAUAAAACGACCAGCAAUUGCAAUUAACAGCUAGUGGCAUUAUAACCGCUAGUUUGUACAUAUAAAAUACCAAACGGCAGUCGUAAUAAUAACAAAUAUUUUUCGCAGCAACAGCAAAAAAUAAAAACUAUAAUAUGCACUAUAUCGCACAGCAGGAUGCGUAUGUUAAUAAUUUAAAUACAGUUUCCUGUUAAUUUCGAACGCCAAUAAUUAUAAUUUGAAUUCGAAAUACAGUUAGUAUUCGUUAAUGCACAUGUAAAUAGUAAAGGCUAAAUAUGCGCCGAAUGCAAGCACACAUAUACAUAUAUACAUAUGUGCAUAUGAGUAAACGUUAGAUGGCAAACGCAAUCUACAUACAUAUACAUAUGUAUAUAUGUUUGCAAGUAUGAAAUAUGCAAAUGCAUACAAUAAAUGGAAUAAAAAAUAUUCAAAAUCCACAAACGUGCUAAAUGCAAGCGGUCAAGCGUGGAAAUUUGAUGUGAUUACGAGUUUGAAUGCGAAUGUAACAAAAUACAACAAAAUAAAAACAACAAACAACGUUUAUAACCGCAAACUGCUGCUAUGAAACAUCUUUUUUUGUAUCUAAAAGCUAUAAUAAAUUAAUAAUAAUAAUAAUAAUAAUAAUAAUAGCAAAAACAAAAACAAACAAAACAAGAACAACGGCUAAACUAAUACCAGCUUAUUUUGACAAAAUACAACACACUUAUAAAAUAAAAUAUUUAAAGCCAUUUUAAGCUGAGCAUAAAAAUCGCUCACACCAAAAUGUCAGUUAAGCCGAAUCUAUGGAAGCGUUGGAUGAACAAAUCAAGUAUGGACUUUACGAGCCUAGGUUGUUGUACGCUUGCUUUUGUAUUAUAUCUGAACACACUGAAAGCCGGAUUUGUUUAUGA
This 2570-nucleotide long non-coding RNA is filed under the name Ceratitis capitata (Mediterranean fruit fly). RNAcentral's name for it is "uncharacterized LOC105665500". The record is from RNAcentral. Lineage: Eukaryota; Metazoa; Arthropoda; Insecta; Diptera; Tephritidae.